AAGUCGUAACAAGGUUUCCGUAGGUGAACCUGCGAACACGUAUCCAACGUUAAACCCCUGUGAACUUUUAGCACUGCUCUUGCAGCCCGUCUUCCUCCAGCAAUCCCUAGUAAAUCAUGGCGAACAGUUUGAUUUAGGGACUUCUGAGUCACGCGGUAGUGCCUUUGGUGAAUUGAAAAGUGUCAUCAGAGACCGGCGACGAGAAGGCCCUACGGCUUCACUGGAGGACAUCACGAGAUGCUCGGGUCCCCAUGCCCCCUUACAACCCCAUGUCUCGCAGCCGGGUCGCGAUAAUACGACCUAAAAAUAAAAACCGAACAACUGUUAACAAUGGAUAUCUUGGUUCUC
RNAcentral lists this unclassified non-coding RNA (348 nucleotides) under fungal sp. Its description in RNAcentral is "partial internal transcribed spacer region". The record is from RNAcentral. Lineage: Eukaryota; Fungi.